AUAAUAAUUUAGGCCUGGUUUUUGUGAUCCAGAUGAGCAUUGGAAGGAAAUGGAAGGAAAUCCUUGACGUCACAGAUAAGAUCUCUUACAGUUUUCAUGAUGAUUCUAAAAGGGAAAGAUCAGCAAAAAAUCGAUAUAGUGUGUGAAUAUGCACUUGAAAUCGACAGUGUUAACAGGCACCUGAUUAUACUCAAAAUUAUGUGUGUGUGGCAUUUAAGUAGAGAUGCGGUUAAUGACGACAAUCAGGAACACCCCACCACUUGUGUCACUGCAAAUUGAUGUAGAAGAUAUUGCUUUGCGCUUUAAUUUUGAUGUAACAUUAUCAUGCGCCAGUUUUGACCUUUGCAAUCUAGGUGUUUUUUAAAAAAAAUAUAUAUUGUUUCAAUGUAACGUUGUCAGAUGCCAGUUUUGAUUCUAGUAAUACUGAGAUUGUUGCCUUUCUUCCCUUUGUGUGAGUUGCUAAUUGUCUUCAAGCAAAGGGGUUUUACGCAAUUUGACUGAGUUUUGACUGGAUAUUGGAAUUCUCCGUACUUAUAAACAGUUACUAGAAUUCCGGA
This is a non-coding RNA of Coffea arabica (coffee), 557 nucleotides long. The record is from RefSeq and is a predicted model, not a curated record. NCBI's taxonomy places the organism in Eukaryota, Viridiplantae, Streptophyta, Magnoliopsida, Gentianales, Rubiaceae.